GUAACAAGGUCUCCGUUGGUGAACCAGCGGAGGGAUCAUUACCGAGUUAUACAACUCCCAAACCCACUGUGAACCUUACCUCAGUUGCCUCGGCGGGAACGCCCCGGCCGCCUGCCCCCGCGCCGGCGCCGGACCCAGGCGCCCGCCGCAGGGACCCCAAACUCUCUUGCAUUACGCCCAGCGGGCGGAAUUUCUUCUCUGAGUUGCACAAGCAAAAACAAAUGAAUCAAAACUUUCAACAACGGAUCUCUUGGUUCUGGCAUCGAUGAAGAACGCAGCGAAAUGCGAUAAGUAAUGUGAAUUGCAGAAUUCAGUGAAUCAUCGAAUCUUUGAACGCACAUUGCGCCCGCCAGCAUUCUGGCGGGCAUGCCUGUUCGAGCGUCAUUUCAACCCUCGAGCCCCCCCGGGGGCCUCGGUGUUGGGGGACGGCACACCAGCCGCCCCCGAAAUGCAGUGGCGACCCCGCCGCAGCCUCCCCUGCGUAGUAGCACACACCUCGCACCGGAGCGCGGAGGCGGUCACGCCGUAAAACGCCCAACUUUCUUAGAGUUGACCUCGGAUCAGGUAGGAAUACCCGCUGAACCUAAGCAUAUC
This 594-nucleotide unclassified non-coding RNA is filed under the name Purpureocillium lilacinum. RNAcentral's name for it is "sequence contains 18S rRNA gene, ITS1, 5.8S rRNA gene, ITS2, 28S rRNA gene". The stretch from base 231 to 384 matches the Rfam family "5.8S ribosomal RNA". Lineage: Eukaryota; Fungi; Ascomycota; Sordariomycetes; Hypocreales; Ophiocordycipitaceae. The record is from RNAcentral.